Molecule: ribosomal RNA, 567 nt
Filed under: Enteromius camptacanthus (African redfinned barb)
Lineage: Eukaryota; Metazoa; Chordata; Actinopteri; Cypriniformes; Cyprinidae
Description: partial 16S ribosomal RNA
Rfam family: Bacterial large subunit ribosomal RNA
Source: RNAcentral
UAUAAGAGGUCCAGCCUGCCCAGUGACCGCAAGUUCAACGGCCACGGUAUUUUAACCGUGCAAAGGUAGCGCAAUCACUUGUCUUUUAAAUAAAGACCUGUAUGAAUGGCUAAACGAGGGCUUAACUGUCUCCCAUUUCAAGUCAGUGAAAUUGAUCUAUCCGUGCAGAAGCGGGUAUAAUACUACAAGACGAGAAGACCCUUUGGAGCUUAAGGAGUAAAACUCAAUCAUGUCAAACAACUCAAUAAAAAGCAAUUUUGAACUUUAUGAUAAAUGAAACCACUACCUUCGGUUGGGGCGACCACGGAGAAAAAGAAAACCUCCAAGUGGAAUGGGGAAAUCCCCUAAACCAAGAGAAACAUCUCUAAGCUACAGAACAUCUGACCAUAUUUGAUCCGGCUAACCAAGACCGAUCAACGAACCAAGUUACCCCAGGGAUAACAGCGCAAUCCUCUCCCAGAGUCCAUAUCGACGAGGGGGUUUACGACCUCGAUGUUGGAUCAGGACAUCCUAAUGGUGCAGCCGCUAUUAAGGGUUCGUUUGUUCAACGAUUAAAGUCCUACGUGA